Molecule: long non-coding RNA, 3462 nt
Filed under: Mus musculus (house mouse)
Lineage: Eukaryota; Metazoa; Chordata; Mammalia; Rodentia; Muridae
Description: predicted gene 45056
Source: RNAcentral
UGAAGAGAGCAGACGUCUCCGAGCUACUCAGUCAUUGUAGGUGCUCACCUAAUGAAUCGAUAAACAACAGGGAGGGGGGACCAGAAGUAAUGGAUUCGAUUUAAUAAGAAGUUGGGGUGAUGCAUAAGUGGAAUGAUGCUAAAAUUAGUCGGAGCAGAAGGUCCAGCACAUAAAAUGUCACCAUCAUGUUGUGUAUUCAAGGUGAAGAGAGCCAUGGUCCCAUGAGUACUGACCCCCAUGGUGUGAUUAGAGUUGGCUUUGCAGCCAGAGGUUUAUCUAAUCCUGACCUGACGGUAGGCUGAGGGUGGAGUUCCCAUAGAGACCUGCAGGCAGGGAGUUCACAGCAAGUGUUUCCGGUCACUCCCACCGGAAUGUGCGCCUAAUCACUAUGGGAACCACGGAUCCUUAAGAGAACUACGGAGUUGAUAACAAAGACCCUACAGCUGUUGCCAGACCCAGGAAAGCUUCGCUGAAUUUGUAUUUUUCAGAGUAGUUUAAGACGUCUUCUGACCUCCAUUGGCAUGCAAGGAGGAGAAAACAACUAAGACAAGCCUCUUCCCAGAUUGAAUAUGGUGUCCAGCCACCUUCCAUGGCCUUCCAUGUUGGACCCCUGGAUUGCAAGGGGAAAGAUCUACAGUACAUGCCAGAAUCGCCGUGCACGCUCACGGCAAUUCUUGGAGAGAUAUAUGAUCAAGUCAGGAAUGAACUCAGAGACAUGAAGCAUGCGUGGUUUGAGUGUUUGAAAUGUCCCAGGAAACUUGUGUGUCUGAAUGCUCGGUCCUCUAGCUGGUAGCAUUGUGUUAGGUCACAGAACCUUCAGGGGUGAAGCCUCAGUGAAAGAAGUCACUGGAGGAUUGAGAGGUUGUUAUAGCAGGGCCCCACUUACACUCCACUCUCUGCAACCUGACUGUGCAAGGAACAGGACCUGCCGUGCCACAGUCUCACCACCGAGCCUUUCUCGACAAAAUGAACUGGUUUUCUUCUUAAACUACAAACCACAAGAAAACCUUCCUUAAGUGCUCCUGUUGGGCAAUUUGUCCCAUCAGGAAAAGCAACUAACACAGGAGGCUGGUACAGAGGAGUGGAGCUGCUGCUUUGAUAAAUUUGACUGCGACGUUCCUUGGACCUGAUUUGUGGGAGGAAUGUGGAGGAGUUCCACACUGUGGGCUAGGAACCCACUCUGAUGCUGCAGGCAGAGCCUGCUGGACCGUACUGCCUGGAACCUUAAAAGACAAGAAUGCUGAGAGAAACAUAGGCAGAAGAGGCCCAGCUCAGGAAGUUUCAGACAGGAACAAGAACUCUACUGUGGACUGGACUAGAGGCCAUUUGUGUUUCAUCAUUGAAAAGAAUCUGGAUGAUUUCUGCUAUGUUCUGUGGACUUCGGUGCAGAGAUGGCUCAGCAGUUAAGAGCACUCGCUGCUUUUCUAUUUCAGUUCCAAGCCCCCAUGUCAGGUGGCUCACAAAUACCUGUAACUCCAGCUCCAGGAGACCUGAUGCUGCCUUCUGUCCUCCAUGGGCGCAUAUACAUGGCACACACACACACAAGGCAAUAAAAACAAAUCAUUUUUUUAAAUGAACUCAUCAGUUUGGUGGAGGAAAUUCAAAAGCAGGAUAACAUUCAAGGUUUGCUAUGGCUACCACUCACUUCUCUUAUCCAGGUCUACAGAGAGGAGGGUACUGGGGGAGGAGAGAGCAAGUGAAACAGAAAAGUAUGAAAGUAAGCUGUUUGGUGUGGAAAGGAACAAGUUUGACAAUGUGGACAUCAUAGGGGGACUUUGAAAGUGACUGGUAUUGUUAAAUUAGCCCCAUCGAAGAGGGAGCCUGGUGCUGUGCACUGGGACAAAACUGGCUUACAGUUCCCAAGGGCAGGAGCCUAGUUAGGAGCCUACUUAUGAAAAUGCAGAUUAAUGUGGAAGGAGAGAGAGCUGAGCUGAGAAUGACUUUGAAGGAGUCCCCUACCUAGGAAAGCAUCUGCCAAGACUCGGCUGACAGAACACAUGAAGGCCACUACAGCUGCAGUACAGGGCAGGUCAUAGCUAGAGCCAGCAACAGAGCUGGGCAGCAUUGGCCACAUGGUACUGGGAUUUUCAGACUUAAAAGAUUCAGGAGUGAGGGCUUCGUAGACAUCUGCACCAAAGUUCCAGAAGGUCACUGUACCAGGCAAUGUGUAGCAGGGCUGGGUUUCCUACAAAGAGGCCCCAAGAAGAUACUGCAUGAAGCUGGCAACGUGGAGACACCAAAACGCUGGGAAAUCCAGUGAAGAAAACUAUAGGCAUGAAGUAGAGGCGGGCUGAGAGAAAGGCUGUGUGUGUUACAGGUAGCCGAGCAGGAGGGGUUGGAACACCCAAGACUUUUCGAGCCCAGCUGAUUCCACAGGAGCUCCAGAUGCCAGACAUGGAACUCUGGGAUCUGCUGAGUUUGGCUCUUGCUUUGUCUCAUUUUUCCUUGCUGUACCCCAUUCCUCCUCUUUGAAAUGGAAAUGUUUACUCAGUGCCAUUGUUUAUUGGAAUAUAUAGCUUGUCUUUUAAAUUAUUGUAUAAGGGUGAGAAAUUACCUGUAAUCUCAGAAGACUAUGGAGACUUUGGAAAUUGGAAUGGAUAAAUUUUGCAUUAUGAGAUGACCAUGAGCCCAUGGGAUACAGAGACAGAAUGUUUUGGAUAUGAAAUGUCCCCCAUAGGCUCAUGUAUUUGAACAUACCGUCUCCCACUGGUAGUGCUGUUUUGGAAGGUUCUAACACAGUUAGAAAGUAGACUCUGGCUAUAGGGAGUUGUUCACUGGGGGCCAGGAAUUGAGGUUUGGUAGUUCCACUCUCCUUCCUGUCAGCUAGCUCUCUGAACUACACAGGCGUUAGGAGGACCAGCUACUUCUACUGUCUUUCCCACCAUGACGGAUUGUGUCUCCACUUAGACCAUGGGCUCAAACAAGCCUUCUGUCCUUGUUUUGGACAAGUGUUUUGUCCCAGCGACAAGAAAACUAAUAUAAGUAUUGUCCAGUGAAAUGUGAUUAGUCCACUUUUCAGGACUUGGAUAGUUUAAGAAUCCUUUGCUAUAAAAUACACCUGGGUCCAUUCAUUGAUCCAUGUACUAAUCACACAUCUAUCUUUUGUCAACUAUGUGCUUGGGCUUAGAUUAGCAGAGGUAAACCAUGUGGCGCAUUAACCUGCAGAAACCGCGCAUGGAUGAACACCAACAUCCUACGAGGCCAAUCCCACUGAUGGCAGUGGGCGCUGUACUCUGAGGAGGGUAGCAGAACUAUUCUUUGGCGUUAGCACUUAUACAUGGAGACUGGGUUGCUCUGUGCCAUGCUGUGGCCCUUCUCCCAUCAUCAUGAGUUGUGGCUUUGUUCUUCUCCUUAGUAGGGUCUGAGCUGGAGAAAACUGGCUUAGUAAGCAUACGUUGCAUCAGUUGGCACUGUCCCAACCCUUACGUUACCAUCUGGCCCUUCCUCACUUUUAUGCUCCCU